This 388-nucleotide ribosomal RNA is filed under the name uncultured bacterium. Its description in RNAcentral is "partial 16S ribosomal RNA". It matches the Rfam family "Bacterial small subunit ribosomal RNA", at positions 523 to 918 of the family's 1533-position model. The record is from RNAcentral.
AUACAUAGGGGGCAAGCGUUAUCCGGAAUUAUUGGGCGUAAAGGGUGCGUAGGCGGUCUAUUAAGUCUGAGGUGUAAGUGCAGGGCCCAACCCUGUGAUGCUUUAGAAACUGGUAGACUUGAGUGAGAUAGAGGCAAGUGGAAUUCCAUGUGUAGCGGUAAAAUGCGUAAAUAUAUGGAGGAACACCAGUGGCGAAGGCGGCUUGCUGGGUCUAUACUGACGCUGAGGCACGAAAGCGUGGGGAGCAAACAGGAUUAGAUGCCCUGGUAGUCCACGCCGUAAACGAUGAGUACUAAGUGUUGCGAGAACGCAGUGCUGAAGUUAACAUAUUAAGUACUCCGCCUGAGUAGUACGUACGCAAGUAUGAAACUCAAAUGAAUUGACGGGG